This 253-nucleotide ribosomal RNA is filed under the name uncultured prokaryote. RNAcentral's name for it is "partial 16S ribosomal RNA". It matches the Rfam family "Bacterial small subunit ribosomal RNA", at positions 524 to 776 of the family's 1533-position model. The record is from RNAcentral.
UACGAAGGGUGCAAGCGUUACUCGGAAUUACUGGGCGUAAAGCGUGCGUAGGUGGUUCGUUAAGUCUGCCGUGAAAGCCCUGGGCUCAACCUGGGAACUGCAUCCAAAACUACUGAGCUAGAGUACGGUAGAGGGUAGUGGAAUUUCCUGUGUAGCGGUGAAAUGCGUAGAUAUAGGAAGGAACACCAGUGGCGAAGGCGACUACCUGGACUGAUACUGACACUGAGGUGCGAAAGCGUGGGGAGCAAACAGG